RNAcentral lists this ribosomal RNA (1438 nucleotides) under uncultured organism. RNAcentral describes it as "SSU rRNA". It matches the Rfam family "Bacterial small subunit ribosomal RNA". The record is from RNAcentral.
GCUAGCUACAGGCUUAACACAUGCAAGUCGAGGGGCAGCAUGGUCUUAGCUUGCUAAGGCCGAUGGCGACCGGCGCACGGGUGAGUAACACGUAUCCAACCUGCCGUCUACUCUUGGACAGCCUUCUGAAAGGAAGAUUAAUACAAGAUGGCAUCAUGAGUCCGCAUGUUCACAUGAUUAAAGGUAUUCCGGUAGACGAUGGGGAUGCGUUCCAUUAGAUAGUAGGCGGGGUAACGGCCCACCUAGUCUUCGAUGGAUAGGGGUUCUGAGAGGAAGGUCCCCCACAUUGGAACUGAGACACGGUCCAAACUCCUACGGGAGGCAGCAGUGAGGAAUAUUGGUCAAUGGGCGAGAGCCUGAACCAGCCAAGUAGCGUGAAGGAUGACUGCCCUAUGGGUUGUAAACUUCUUUUAUAAAGGAAUAAAGUCGGGUAUGCAUACCCGUUUGCAUGUACUUUAUGAAUAAGGAUCGGCUAACUCCGUGCCAGCAGCCGCGGUAAUACGGAGGAUCCGAGCGUUAUCCGGAUUUAUUGGGUUUAAAGGGAGCGUAGAUGGAUGUUUAAGUCAGUUGUGAAAGUUUGCGGCUCAACCGUAAAAUUGCAGUUGAUACUGGAUAUCUUGAGUGCAGUUGAGGCAGGCGGAAUUCGUGGUGUAGCGGUGAAAUGCUUAGAUAUCACGAAGAACUCCGAUUGCGAAGGCAGCCUGCUAAGCUGCAACUGACAUUGAGGCUCGAAAGUGUGGGUAUCAAACAGGAUUAGAUACCCUGGUAGUCCACACGGUAAACGAUGAAUACUCGCUGUUUGCGAUAUACGGCAAGCGGCCAAGCGAAAGCGUUAAGUAUUCCACUUGGGGAGUACGCCGGCAACGGUGAAACUCAAAGGAAUUGACGGGGGCCCGCACAAGCGGAGGAACAUGUGGUUUAAUUCGAUGAUACGCGAGGAACCUUACCCGGGCUUAAAUUGCAGAUGAAUUACGGUGAAAGCCGUAAGCCGCAAGGCAUCUGUGAAGGUGCUGCAUGGUUGUCGUCAGCUCGUGCCGUGAGGUGUCGGCUUAAGUGCCAUAACGAGCGCAACCCUUGUUGUCAGUUACUAACAGGUUCCGCUGAGGACUCUGACAAGACUGCCAUCGUAAGAUGUGAGGAAGGUGGGGAUGACGUCAAAUCAGCACGGCCCUUACGUCCGGGGCUACACACGUGUUACAAUGGGGGGUACAGAGGGCCGCUACCACGCGAGUGGAUGCCAAACCCCAAAACCUCUCUCAGUUCGGACUGGAGUCUGCAACCCGACUCCACGAAGCUGGAUUCGCUAGUAAUCGCGCAUCAGCCACGGCGCGGUGAAUACGUUCCCGGGCCUUGUACACACCGCCCGUCAAGCCAUGGGAGCCGGGGGUACCUGAAGUGCGUAACCGCGAGGAGCGCCCUAGGGUAAAACUGGUGACUG